CAGCGGCUUCCCAUUGUCCUGGUUCUCUAGCUUCUGAGUGACAAGAGGCCACAGCAGCAGUGACAGCACCAGUUGUGGCAUCUUGAUCUCUUUAUUGCAGCGGUGGAUCCAGCCUCUGCCAGGCAACCCCCAGGAUGGGUCCAGCUCCCAGCCACUGGCCCCUCUGCAGCUCUUGCACUGACCUGUCAGCCCAGUGCCUGGGCUCUGAGUCUCUAUCCAUUCAAGAAAACAAGAGGAGACUGCUCCCUAAUGUGUGGUCUCGGGGAAGGAGCUGAGCUGCUCUCCUAAUGGACAAUCAGGUAAGGAACCUACAAGAGUGAGGCUAAGUAUGAACGGUGGAAUAUCACUCAGCCCUGAAAAAAAUGAGAUAAAUUCACAUGCCGAGACAUGCAAAGAUCUCUAAGAUAUUGUAAUGUGAAAAAAAUGCAGACACCUGUAGAUGUAGUUCCAUGUAAUCUAUGUAAAAAUAAUACAGACAUGCACACGCAUACUUUAUAUCUACAGAAAGGGGAUUAGAUGGAAGCACACCAGAAUUGUUCAUAGUUAGGGCCUGGGGGCCAGGGAUUGGGGUGGGCAGAAGGGGGUGUUCUUAUUUUACUCUCUGCACCCCUGAAAUGCUUGACUCUGACAUCAGGAAUGUGUUCUUGUAUCACUUCCAUAAUUAAA
Molecule: long non-coding RNA, 666 nt
Organism: Loxodonta africana (African savanna elephant)
Lineage: Eukaryota; Metazoa; Chordata; Mammalia; Proboscidea; Elephantidae
Exons: 3
Source: RefSeq, a predicted model, not a curated record